AAAUUGAAGAGUUUGAUCAUGGCUCAGAUUGAACGCUGGCGGCAGGCCUAACACAUGCAAGUCGAACGGUAACAGGAAGCAGCUUGCUGCUUCGCUGACGAGUGGCGGACGGGUGAGUAAUGUCUGGGAAACUGCCUGAUGGAGGGGGAUAACUACUGGAAACGGUGGCUAAUACCGCAUAACGUCGCAAGACCAAAGAGGGGGACCUUCGGGCCUCUUGCCAUCAGAUGUGCCCAGAUGGGAUUAGCUUGUUGGUGAGGUAACGGCUCACCAAGGCGACGAUCCCUAGCUGGUCUGAGAGGAUGACCAGCCACACUGGAACUGAGACACGGUCCAGACUCCUACGGGAGGCAGCAGUGGGGAAUAUUGCACAAUGGGCGCAAGCCUGAUGCAGCCAUGCCGCGUGUAUGAAGAAGGCCUUCGGGUUGUAAAGUACUUUCAGCGGGGAGGAAGGUGUUGUGGUUAAUAACCGCAGCAAUUGACGUUACCCGCAGAAGAAGCACCGGCUAACUCCGUGCCAGCAGCCGCGGUAAUACGGAGGGUGCAAGCGUUAAUCGGAAUUACUGGGCGUAAAGCGCACGCAGGCGGUCUGUCAAGUCGGAUGUGAAAUCCCCGGGCUCAACCUGGGAACUGCAUUCGAAACUGGCA
This 648-nucleotide ribosomal RNA is filed under the name Salmonella enterica. RNAcentral's name for it is "bacterial SSU rRNA". It matches the Rfam family "Bacterial small subunit ribosomal RNA", at positions 1 to 638 of the family's 1533-position model. The record is from RNAcentral. Lineage: Bacteria; Pseudomonadati; Pseudomonadota; Gammaproteobacteria; Enterobacterales; Enterobacteriaceae.